Molecule: ribosomal RNA, 404 nt
Filed under: Alcaligenes faecalis
Lineage: Bacteria; Pseudomonadati; Pseudomonadota; Betaproteobacteria; Burkholderiales; Alcaligenaceae
Description: bacterial SSU rRNA
Rfam family: Bacterial small subunit ribosomal RNA
Source: RNAcentral
AAGCACCGGCUAACUACGUGCCAGCAGCCGCGGUAAUACGUAGGGUGCAAGCGUUAAUCGGAAUUACUGGGCGUAAAGCGUGUGUAGGCGGUUCGGAAAGAAAGAUGUGAAAUCCCAGGGCUCAACCUUGGAACUGCAUUUUUAACUGCCGAGCUAGAGUAUGUCAGAGGGGGGUAGAAUUCCACGUGUAGCAGUGAAAUGCGUAGAUAUGUGGAGGAAUACCGAUGGCGAAGGCAGCCCCCUGGGAUAAUACUGACGCUCAGACACGAAAGCGUGGGGAGCAAACAGGAUUAGAUACCCUGGUAGUCCACGCCCUAAACGAUGUCAACUAGCUGUUGGGGCCGUUAGGCCUUAGUAGCGCAGCUAACGCGUGAAGUUGACCGCCUGGGGAGUACGGUCGCAAG